This is a long non-coding RNA of Cyprinus carpio (common carp), 411 nucleotides long. RefSeq lists it as uncharacterized. Lineage: Eukaryota; Metazoa; Chordata; Actinopteri; Cypriniformes; Cyprinidae. The transcript is spliced from 2 exons. The record is from RefSeq and is a predicted model, not a curated record.
AGAUCUGAAAUUUAUCGUGAUAAUUAUCGAUAUCGACUGAUAUGAAAAAUUUUAGCGUGAUAAUUUUUUUUGCCCACAUCGGCCAGCACUAGACAAAAGAUAACAGUCCUCUGUCUCCUAGCAACAGCAUCAUCUUCUCAUCUGAUAACAGAUCAGUGUCCAUCAGUCCAGUGCAGAGAUCAGACAGUGGAGAAUAUCAAUGUACAUAUAGAAACCCUGUCAGCUCUGAGACGGCAAAACUCAACCUGAUCAUCAACUAUGGACCAGAAGAUGUUUCUGUUAUGGGUGAGGAUGUGGUGGAUUUAGGGGUUUGUGUGUCACUCUCUUGUUCUGCAAACUCUGAACCUGCUGCUUCAUUCAGCUGGAAGUUUAAUGGAACAGACACCAGUGUGACCACAGACACAUUCACCA